RNAcentral lists this ribosomal RNA (465 nucleotides) under uncultured bacterium. Its description in RNAcentral is "partial 16S ribosomal RNA". It matches the Rfam family "Bacterial small subunit ribosomal RNA", at positions 28 to 507 of the family's 1533-position model. The record is from RNAcentral.
GACGAACGCUGGCGGCGUGCCUAACACAUGCAAGUCGAACGGACAGGCCACUUUGGGGGUACUCGAGUGGCGAACGGGGGCGUAACACGUGAGUAAGCUGAACCUGACUUCGGGAUAACUUUAGGUAACUGGGGCUAAUACUGGUUAGGAAUCAUUUCUGCAUGGGGGGGGUUGGAAAGCUACGGCCGUUUUUGGUGGACCUGCGACUUAUCAGCUUGCUGGGGGGGUAAUGGCUUACCAAGGCUUUGAAGGGUAGCCGGCCUGAGGAGGCGACCGGCCACAUAGAGACUGAGGUACGGCCCAGACUCCGACGGGAGGGAGCAGGGGGGAAGAUUGCACGAGGGGCGGAAGCCUGAUGCUGCAACUCCGCGGGCCGGAAAACGGCCUUCGUGUUGAAAACCGCUUUCAGCAGUGGCGAAGCUUGUCGUGACGGUACCUGCAGAAGAAGCACCGGCUAACUACGUG